This 1563-nucleotide ribosomal RNA is filed under the name Klebsiella oxytoca. Its description in RNAcentral is "bacterial SSU rRNA". It matches the Rfam family "Bacterial small subunit ribosomal RNA". The record is from RNAcentral. Lineage: Bacteria; Pseudomonadati; Pseudomonadota; Gammaproteobacteria; Enterobacterales; Enterobacteriaceae.
GGGCAUGGCCGGCGGCUACACAUGCAAGUCGACGGUAGCACAGAGAGCUUGCUCUCGGGUGACGAGUGGCGGACGGGUGAGUAAUGUCUGGGAAACUGCCUGAUGGAGGGGGAUAACUACUGGAAACGGUAGCUAAUACCGCAUAACGUCGCAAGACCAAAGAGGGGGACCUUCGGGCCUCUUGCCAUCAGAUGUGCCCAGAUGGGAUUAGCUGGUAGGUGGGGUAACGGCUCACCUAGGCGACGAUCCCUAGCUGGUCUGAGAGGAUGACCAGCCACACUGGAACUGAGACACGGUCCAGACUCCUACGGGAGGCAGCAGUGGGGAAUAUUGCACAAUGGGCGCAAGCCUGAUGCAGCCAUGCCGCGUGUAUGAAGAAGGCCUUCGGGUUGUAAAGUACUUUCAGCGGGGAGGAAGGCGAUGAGGUUAAUAACCUUGUCGAUUGACGUUACCCGCAGAAGAAGCACCGGCUAACUCCGUGCCAGCAGCCGCGGUAAUACGGAGGGUGCAAGCGUUAAUCGGAAUUACUGGGCGUAAAGCGCACGCAGGCGGUCUGUCAAGUCGGAUGUGAAAUCCCCGGGCUCAACCUGGGAACUGCAUUCGAAACUGGCAGGCUGGAGUCUUGUAGAGGGGGGUAGAAUUCCAGGUGUAGCGGUGAAAUGCGUAGAGAUCUGGAGGAAUACCGGUGGCGAAGGCGGCCCCCUGGACAAAGACUGACGCUCAGGUGCGAAAGCGUGGGGAGCAAACAGGAUUAGAUACCCUGGUAGUCCACGCUGUAAACGAUGUCGACUUGGAGGUUGUUCCCUUGAGGAGUGGCUUCCGGAGCUAACGCGUUAAGUCGACCGCCUGGGGAGUACGGCCGCAAGGUUAAAACUCAAAUGAAUUGACGGGGGCCCGCACAAGCGGUGGAGCAUGUGGUUUAAUUCGAUGCAACGCGAAAAACCUUACCUACUCUUGACAUCCACAGAACUUAGCAGAGAUGCUUUGGUGCCUUCGGGAACUCUGAAACAGGUGCUGCAUGGCUGUCGUCAGCUCGUGUUGUGAAAUGUUGGGGUUAAGUCCCGCCAACGAGCGCAACCCUUUAUCCUUUGUUGCCAGCGGUUCCGGCCGGGAACUCAAAGGAAACUGCCAGUGAUAAACUGGAAGGAAGGUGGGGGAUGACGUCAAGUCAUCCUGGCCCCUUACGAAUAAGGGCUACCACCGUGGCUACAAUGGGCAAUUACAAAGAAAAACCGACCUUCGGAAAACCAACCGGACCUUCAAAAAAUAUUCCCUAUUCCCGGAUGGGAAUUUGGCACCUCCACUCCCUGGAAAUCGGAAAUCCGUAGAAAUCCGGGGAUCCAAAAUGCCCCCGGGGAAAAACUUUCCCGGGCCCUUUUAAACCCCCCCCCCGUUAACCCAUGGGGGAAGGGGGUUUCAAAAAAAAAAUUGGGGUUUUAAACUUUUUGGGAGGCCCCUUCCAACCUUUUUGGUUUCUUAACCGGGGGGGGAAGAUUUUAACAAGGACACCUGGGACCCCCUGUGCCGUUGCCUUUUACCCCUUCAACUAUAAAAAUAGGAGGU